RNAcentral lists this long non-coding RNA (441 nucleotides) under Phaseolus vulgaris (common bean). RNAcentral describes it as "long non-coding RNA (PVUL_LNC001311)". Lineage: Eukaryota; Viridiplantae; Streptophyta; Magnoliopsida; Fabales; Fabaceae. The record is from RNAcentral.
AAUAAUGUUUUGCAGUAUCAGAAACUGGUAGUAGUUUAUAUUUAAAGGAGCAAGUUAAUGUAAAAGAUAAUAAUAUUUUGUAUGAUCAAGAACAAAAUUAAUGACAGCACAUGUUGCAAAAGGACCAAAGAAGAAGGUUGAACAUAACAUCUUCCCUGCCUCCAUUUGUGCCUGAGCUGCAAUAUAGAUAUCAAUUACAAAGCAUUGUGGUUUUAGCAAAACCAUAAGAAUUGGAUUGUUGAAGGUAACAUGUAGGUUGAAAGAUGGUUGGUGAGGUUUGUAUGAGAAAAAUGAUGAAUGUGUGAUGUGGGUGGUGAGAGCAAAAGGGUUAUUUUGGCCUUACCUUUGGUAUGAGAAUGCCUUGGUUCUUGAAGGAAAGGAGAAAGGUGCAGGUCUACCAUCCCUUCAACCCUAACAAAUAAGGACUAAAGCUAUAAGCAU